Molecule: transfer RNA, 87 nt
Filed under: compost metagenome
Description: tRNA-Leu
Rfam family: tRNA
About the family: Transfer RNA (tRNA) molecules are approximately 80 nucleotides in length. Their secondary structure includes four short double-helical elements and three loops (D, anti-codon, and T loops). Further hydrogen bonds mediate the characteristic L-shaped molecular structure. tRNAs have two regions of fundamental functional importance: the anti-codon, which is responsible for specific mRNA codon recognition, and the 3' end, to which the tRNAs corresponding amino acid is attached (by aminoacyl-tRNA synthetases). tRNAs cope with the degeneracy of the genetic code in two manners: having more than one tRNA (with a specific anti-codon) for a particular amino acid; and 'wobble' base-pairing, i.e. permitting non-standard base-pairing at the 3rd anti-codon position.
Source: RNAcentral
GCCGGUGUGAUGGAAUAGGCAGACAUAGGGGACUUAAAAUCCCCUGGAGGAAACUCCGUGCAGGUUCAAGUCCUGUCACCGGCACCA